GAGUUUGAUCCUGGCUCAGGAUGAACGCUGGCGGCGUGCUUAACACAUGCAAGUCGAACGGGAAGUAUUUCAUUGAGACUUCGGUGGAUUUGAUCUAUUUCUAGUGGCGGACGGGUGAGUAACGCGUGGGUAACCUGCCUUAUACAGGGGGAUAACAGUCAGAAAUGGCUGCUAAUACCGCAUAAGCGCACAGAGCUGCAUGGCUCAGUGUGAAAAACUCCGGUGGUAUAAGAUGGACCCGCGUUGGAUUAGCUGGUUGGUGGGGUAACGGCCCACCAAGGCGACGAUCCAUAGCCGGCCUGAGAGGGUGAACGGCCACAUUGGGACUGAGACACGGCCCAGACUCCUACGGGAGGCAGCAGUGGGGAAUAUUGCACAAUGGGGGAAACCCUGAUGCAGCGACGCCGCGUGAAGGAAGAAGUAUCUCGGUAUGUAAACUUCUAUCAGCAGGGAAGAUAGUGACGGUACCUGACUAAGAAGCCCCGGCUAACUACGUGCCAGCCGCCGCGGUAAUUC
Molecule: ribosomal RNA, 516 nt
Filed under: uncultured bacterium
Lineage: Bacteria
Description: bacterial SSU rRNA
Rfam family: Bacterial small subunit ribosomal RNA
Source: RNAcentral